This 1015-nucleotide long non-coding RNA is filed under the name Chlamydomonas reinhardtii. RNAcentral's name for it is "long non-coding RNA (CREI_LNC001092)". The record is from RNAcentral. Lineage: Eukaryota; Viridiplantae; Chlorophyta; Chlorophyceae; Chlamydomonadales; Chlamydomonadaceae.
AGCAUGUGUAGAUGAGUGGCCCGCCCGUGGGCUUUGUACGCGGGUGGUCUUGCGCCACGAUGCCGGAGUUGGGUGCCGGAGUCACAUCAAGGUCGCAAGAUCGAAACCCAUCAGGAACGGUUCGGCUCCGUUACCUGUGUAGGCACUGAACAUACUUGUGCCGAACUUCCCCGAACGAGCGCCAUCUCGGCCUUCCUAGGUCGCUGCUCUACGGGUGCGGACGCUGGUGCGGCGGGUUCUGAUGGUUUCCCCGCGAGAGCUAUCCUGCUUACUAGAAGCCGGUCUGCAAGCCAGUUGGCGCUGAUGCGCCGGGGCAGGAGGAGGCCCCUGAUUAGGGAAUGUGCGUCACCCAGCGCCGAUCUGCGAGCCCGUGUUUCGAGGCGUUACCGUGGCCCAGUAUGGCCGAUGGUUGCAGACAACCCCCCUCCCCCACAUACCUAACAACCGCCCGCCCGUGGGCUUUGUACGCGGGUGGUCUUGCGCCACGAUGCCGGAGUUGGGUGCCGGAGUCACAUCAAGGUCGCAAGAUCGAAACCCAUCGGGAACGGUUCGGCUCCGUUACCUGUGUAGGCACUGAACAUACUUGUGCCGAACUUCCCCGAACGAGCGCCAUCUCGGCCUUCCUAGGUCGCUGCUCUACGGGUGCGGACGCUGGUGCGGCGGGUUCUGAUGGUUUCCCCGCGAGAGCUAUCCUGCUUACUCGAAGCCGGUCUGCAAGCCAGUUGGCGCUGAUGCGCCGGGGCAGGAGGAGGCCCCUGAUUAGGGAAUGUGCGUCACCCAGCGCCGAUCUGCGAGCCCGUGUUUCGAGGCGUUACCGUGGCCCAGUAUGGCCGAUGGUUGCAGACAACCCCCCUCCCCCACAUACCUAACAAAGCUAAACUCGUUCUACUCCGCUUGGUUGCGUUAGGGCGCCUCGGCGCCCUGACCCUCCUUGUCGGUAGUAGUUCCUGGCCGGCCUUCGUGGCCGCGCCAAUCCCCUGUGGCGCCUCCAUGGCGUCCCUGGCGUUGCUUAGGU